Long non-coding RNA from Nymphaea colorata (pocket water lily), 1272 nucleotides. RefSeq lists it as uncharacterized. Lineage: Eukaryota; Viridiplantae; Streptophyta; Magnoliopsida; Nymphaeales; Nymphaeaceae. The record is from RefSeq and is a predicted model, not a curated record. The transcript is spliced from 3 exons.
UUCUCUUUCCUCUCGAGAGCUUCUCUCUCUUCUCUGGAAAACCCUCUGUUUAGGGCUUCAUCCGCUACUGCUAUUUGUCUGGCCAUUCUCCUUUGUUACAUGAUGUCGACCGUAGCAGUGUUCAAUGAGUUUUUGGUAUUGGGUCGUCACUAGAAAAGAGAAAACAACAAGUUUGAGUCUACCAGAAAAGAGAAAAAAAAAGGAAGAGAAGCGAUGGGUACCCCAGCUGCACAAGCAGUAGCAAAGGUUUUCUCCAGCCAUUCUUAGAGGGUUCGAUGGACCUCGGUUUUUUGAUGCUCAAGGUCACUGAAAAAAAAAAAAAGAUAGUAGUAGGUGCUCCAGCUGUGAUAGAGGAGGAAGACAACGAAUGCUUCUCCACCUGCUCAGGCGGCAACGACCCUUAAGCUCUCUACUUAGGUUCGGUCACUGUGCGAAGGAGGUCGAGAGGAAAAAUUAAAAUUCACAGAAUGCUCUGUAGUGUCCGCGCUUUCGUGCACCUACCGGAACAAAGCAUCAGAGAACUGUCCAACAACAAACAACUUCAGAGGAAGUGAAGCAGCAGUGGAGCGGUGGCCUAAAGCAACUCGUCGUCUGCACAACAAGUUCACCACCGAAUGCUCCGGGAUGAGUACACGAGCGUUAGUAGGUAGAGGCAGAGACAGAGGAAGGAGAAGAAGAAGUAAAACAAAACAGAAGCAAAUGAUGAUUCUCGGGUUUCCUUCUACGAGGCUCUUCUAGGGCAAUGAACCGAGAGAUCAAAGCCUAAUUCAGAGAGUUGUUGGUAGACCAGCCUCAUAGGUUUCCCCACCAGCAGGCGGUUAGGGUAUGACAGAGAGAAAACAGUUACGAUAUGUUCAGAUAGGGCUCAAUGGCCACUAUCAAACAAGAGGGCGACUGACUCUGCCUCUGAGAGCAAGAGGGCCAUGGCCUCAACAUAGUUAAGCGUGGGAUGUGAGGUGUUGAUCCAGAGGUACUCUACAGCGAUGGUGCUGUUAUUAGUGGGGAAAAUACCACCAGAGGCGAGGAGAAUGGGGAAGAUGAAGAGAGUGAAGGGGAAGGAAGGUUGUGGUUAGCGAUGUCAACGGAUUCGAUUUGGAUUGGAUAUACCUUUUAUCAUAUUCAAUUUUUCAAAUAUUGAUAUAUUCUGAUUCGGAUUUGGACUUGGAUUCGAAUUCGGAUGAAAAAAGCUUAUAACAUAUUUGAAUCCAACUUUAAAAUGUACAUUUAAAUUUUUAAGUUAUAUUUGAAUCUGAUCCGAAUCUGACUGUUAAG